CAUGUAGGCGGUUUGUUAAGUCAGUCGUUUAAUCCCUCGGCUUAACCGAGGUCCUGCGGAUGAUACUGGCAAACUUGAGUACGGGAGAGGAGAGUGGAAUUCCAUGUGUAGCGGUGAAAUGCGCAGAUAUAUGGAGGAACACCCGUGGCGAAGGCGGCUCUCUGGACCGCUACUGACGCUGAGAUGCGAAGGCGUGGGGAGCAAACG
Molecule: ribosomal RNA, 207 nt
Filed under: uncultured bacterium
Lineage: Bacteria
Description: partial 16S ribosomal RNA
Rfam family: Bacterial small subunit ribosomal RNA
Source: RNAcentral